This 410-nucleotide long non-coding RNA is filed under the name Rattus norvegicus (Norway rat). RNAcentral describes it as "long non-coding RNA NONRATT026909". Lineage: Eukaryota; Metazoa; Chordata; Mammalia; Rodentia; Muridae. The record is from RNAcentral.
GGUUUGUGAGCCCCAGAACAGGACCCUGUGGGUAAUUGGUCGCCAGCGUCUUUGCGCCCCUACCUACCGGUCCAGAGUCUCCGGCCUCCGGCGCCUGUCCCCACGUGUUCCGAAGCCCCAGGUGCCGCCGCGCUGGCUCCAGAAGCCAAGAGGCCGAGGGGACCGGAGCGCGCUGGCGGCUGCCGCACCACGUGUGCUAACCCGGCUGGCGCGGGCGGAGCGGGCCGGGGCUGGCUCCUCCAGCCCCAGCGCAAACCGGUUGCCACGCGCCGAGUCGCCGGCCGGCGGCCCAGUCCAACACAAGCCUCUAGGGCAUUCAGGCACACUGUCUGGACAGCGCAAUGGACAAGGUCUGCAAAGGAAACGGUGCCUCCUCCUGGACGGCGGCGGCGGCGCGGGGAGCCUGCAGG